This is a long non-coding RNA of Lagopus leucura (white-tailed ptarmigan), 1874 nucleotides long. RefSeq lists it as uncharacterized. The transcript has 2 exons. The record is from RefSeq and is a predicted model, not a curated record. Lineage: Eukaryota; Metazoa; Chordata; Aves; Galliformes; Phasianidae.
AUCUCCUCUGGUGCAACUUGUGGCCGUUUCCUCAGCUCUCAUGAAAAGCUUCCAUGGUAGAAUUGCACGGCUUAAAGCACCAAAAGGGGUAGAAGGUGAGUGAACUGAGGGAGACUCUCUUUUGCCUAGUAACAAACACACUGUGCUGCUGCUGUAGCGCAAGAGGAAAGCAUGCAAGCGGAAGUGAGUUCUGUCCUGGGGGAUCAGUUCUAGAAAAGGCUUUUUGAGUAGACUUGGUCUCCCCUACUGAGGAGCUUUAGGAGUCCAAUAGGGCACAGGACACCAUUUACUCUUUUUUUUUUUUUUUUUGAGAUGUUUCAUUCUGUGCAGAGAAUUGCUUUAAAGACCAAAAUGAUGACCCUGGACUUAAUGUCUUGAGGGAUGCUUUCUGCUGGGGAAAGAAAGAAGAAAGAAACAAAGCCCCAAACCUGACUUUUACUCCCACCAAUGAAAGCAGCUGGAAGGGCAAAGAUACAGGGAGGUCUUCAAAUUGGUCCUAGCUUUACUGCUUUGAACCACAGGGAAGGUCGAUGCUGGGUGUGCUUAGCAGAUGUUGCUUGCUUGGUGUCCUGCCUGCCUCUGCACUGAUGCCUUUAACUUCAGCAGCUUAUGCUGGCAUGAGGGAGAGUGAUUUGUGUAUUUUUCUUGAAGGAAACACCGUCAUCGGUUAUCAACAAAGGGUGCUAACAUGGAGGAGAGAGAAGCUGUAGCAAUGCAGAAGCCCUGUGAGCCAGCUGUUUAGUGAAUGCUGGUCUAGACGUCAGUUUAAAACUUAAAUAGGAAUCUGUUAUCAUUGUGUAAUGAUAAAAAAUGAUGUCACAUUGGUACAGUGGGAAGCGGAACAUUUUUAGGUAUUACCAAAACAAAUUUUCUUUCAUAACCUCUGAGUUUUUCUACUUCUUUUAAAAAGGUAGCUGGAGCCUUUGUAAUGUUUUAGAUGUAAGUAGAAACAGAUUUUGAAGUGCCAUGUUUGGUUAAGUAUCAGCUAUGCUGUUUCUUCAUUUACUUGUUAUGAUUUGAUUACUGUAAUAAUGCUAAGUUUAAUGUGUAUUUGCAAAUUAAUCCUCAGAUAUUUCUUUAAGUUACACUCUUUCUAUUUGUUAGAUAUUUUUAGUCAUCAGAUUAUUAUAAAGUCAAUAAAUUUUUGACAGGGAAUAUUUGUUCUAUGUAAAUAAAUGUUAUGAAAUAUUUUGCCUGGUAAUUACAAGCGCUUCUCUAUUUUUCUAUCUGAUAAUUACAGAGUUCUUUGUGGAAACAGAGUAUAAUUGUUCUAUCAUUAGGGUAGUGAAAUUCAUCACUUAUGCAGUGGUGAGUUAAUGACUUCUAGAAAUCAACCCAUGAGAGUGAAAGCAGCAAUUUUCAAUUGUAUUCCAAGACUGACAUUCCUAGAUGAUGAGCCAAGAAUGAUUAUUUGGAUUACCUGAACUGUUUCCUUGCAUCCAACAGAAUGUUUUACUUAAGGAAAUAAUAUAUCUACAAAGUAGCAAAAGUAUUUUUUUAUUUGAAACAUAGCAGUGGUGAAUAGAGCUAGAAUUUAAUCUUCCUUUUGUCUCUGAAUAAUUUUACAUUCCUGCCAAUAGCUUUCAUUCUGCAUUCAGUUUAGAAUUGCAUCACAUCAUCACUUACAGUUUGCAGCUAUUUCCAAAGUCUUUGUGAACACAAAUUUUUGUCUUAUAUUAUCAUGCUGCCAAUGACCAUGUUAAUAUUUGUUGAAUAACAUUUUCUCUGCUCCUCUCUGAUCUGUGGGAAAGUAGCUGGUGCCUCUUCUGAGAGACUGCUUAGUAAUCUGUAUUUUCCUUAGUAUGUCACUGAGUUGUGCGAUAGAUGUUGCCUGUUAAAGCAUACCAAUUAAUAAAAAUGCUCUCACAUGUAAA